Molecule: ribosomal RNA, 411 nt
Filed under: uncultured prokaryote
Description: bacterial SSU rRNA
Rfam family: Bacterial small subunit ribosomal RNA
Source: RNAcentral
GUGUCAGCCGCCGCGGUAAUACGGAGGAUGCGAGCGUUAUCCGGAUUUAUUGGGUUUAAAGGGUGCGUAGGCGGAUUACUAAGUCAGUGGUGAAAACCUUCAGCUUAACUGGAGACUUGCCAUUGAUACUGAUAGUCUUGAGUACGGUCAAGGUAGGCGGAAUGUGUAAUGUAGCGGUGAAAUGCUUAGAUAUUACACAGAACACCGAUUGCGAAGGCAGCUUACUGGGCCAUUACUGACGCUGAUGCACGAAAGCGUGGGGAGCGAACAGGAUUAGAUACCCUGGUAGUCCACGCCGUAAACGAUGAUCACUCGCUGUUGGCGAUACACAGUCAGCGGCUAAGCAAAAGCAUUAAGUGAUCCACCUGGGGAGUACGGCCGCAAGGCUGAAACUUAAAUGAAUUGACGGGG